RNAcentral lists this non-coding RNA (27 nucleotides) under Mus musculus (house mouse). Lineage: Eukaryota; Metazoa; Chordata; Mammalia; Rodentia; Muridae. The record is from RNAcentral.
UGAUCAGAGUGCAGGAUACAUGAAGGU